CCCAAAUUAAAAAUAUCCAAAGAUUACACUUCUGUGAAAUGUGUUCUCCCUCCCCUCUCUCUUCCCUGGUUCCCUCCCCAGAGACAACUGAGAAAUUGUUACCAGUUCUUUGAUGGUCCUAGCCAGAGCUGGUCUAUAUAUUCCCUUUUCCCUAUAAUGAGAAGAAGAAUCUGGCAGAGCGUUCAUAGCUUCUGUGUUUUGUUUACAUGGAAAUGUGAACAGAGGUAACCUUAUCUUUCUAUUAGAUUUGCCCUCAAAUCCCAACCCAGAUAGCACAGGAGAGCCCACUUCCUGGUGACUUUUUGUUUGUUUUUUUUUUUUUUUAGAAACAAGAACACUUCUCUUUACCCAGCAAAGUGCCUCCUCCAAGGUCCCAGAACCAUUGAGGGUGUUUGGGGGGUUGUGGGGC
Molecule: long non-coding RNA, 409 nt
Filed under: Macaca mulatta (Rhesus monkey)
Lineage: Eukaryota; Metazoa; Chordata; Mammalia; Primates; Cercopithecidae
Description: lncRNA (ENSMMUG00000054241.1)
Source: RNAcentral